CAGGGAAUCUUGCGCAAUGGGCGAAAGCCUGACGCAGCGACGCCGCGUGGGGGAAGAAGGCCUGCGGGUUGUAAACCCCUUUUCUCGGGGAAGAAGAUCUGACGGUACCCGAGGAAUAAGCCUCGGCUAACUACGUGCCAGCAGCCGCGGUAAUACGUAGGAGGCGAGCGUUGUCCGGAUUCACUGGGCGUAAAGGGAGAGCAGGUGGCUGAGUUCGUCCGUGGUGCAAGCUCCAGGCUCAACUUGGAGAGGUCUGCGGAUACUGCUCGGCUUGAGGGCGGUAGAGGAGCACGGAAUUCCUGGUGUAGUGGUGAAAUGCGUAGAUAUCAGGAGGAACACCGGUGGCGAAAGCGGUGCUCUGGGCCGUCCCUGACACUCAGGCUCGAAAGCGUGGGGAGCGAACCGG
Molecule: ribosomal RNA, 406 nt
Filed under: uncultured Chloroflexota bacterium
Lineage: Bacteria; Bacillati; Chloroflexota
Description: bacterial SSU rRNA
Rfam family: Bacterial small subunit ribosomal RNA
Source: RNAcentral